AGAACGAACGCUGGCGGCAGGCUUAACACAUGCAAGUCGAACGCGUGUAGCAAUACACGAGUGGCGCACGGGUGAGUAACGCGUGGAUAUCUGCCUUUUGGUUCGGAAUAACCCCGGGAAACUGGGGCUAAUACCGGAUGGUUCCUACGGGAUAAAGAUUUAUCGCCAAAAGAUGAGUCCGCGUCCGAUUAGCUAGUUGGUGGGGUAAUGGCCUACCAAGGCGACGAUCGGUAGCUGGUCUGAGAGGACGAUCAGCCACACUGGGACUGAGACACGGCCCAGACUCCUACGGGAGGCAGCAGUGGGGAAUAUUGGACAAUGGGGGCAACCCUGAUCCAGCCAUGCCGCGUGAGUGAUGAAGGCCUUCGGGUUGUAAAGCUCUUUUGGCGGGACGAUGAUGACGGUACCCGCAGAAUAACGCCCGGCUAACUUCGCGCCAGCAGCCGC
RNAcentral lists this ribosomal RNA (447 nucleotides) under uncultured bacterium. RNAcentral describes it as "SSU rRNA". It matches the Rfam family "Bacterial small subunit ribosomal RNA", at positions 26 to 518 of the family's 1533-position model. The record is from RNAcentral.